GAUUCAGCAUUUCUAAUACAAUAAAGUGAAAUAAUGAAAGUAAAACAACAACAGGUUUGUGUGGGCUGGGAAAGGGAAAACGAGCACGUGCAUUGUCAGAAUUUCUGCAGAAAUUGCAGGGGGAAAGAAAACCUCAUGUAAGUGGCGCUUCCCUCUGUUCCCCACGGGGAAAAUUCCUCCUCUUGUUUUUAGUGUUCGCUACAUUUCCUUCUUUUAUUCUUUUUUCUGAUCUCGUCCUUUUGUUCCCCUUGUCUCCUCGGAUGCCCGUCCUUCGCGCCGCAGCGGGAGCUCCCGGAGCGGGGCCGGAGCGCGGCGGGCGCUGCAGGUGAGCGGGCGGCGGGGGCGGCGGGAGCCCGGGCUGGGGCCGCGGCCGUGCGGGCCCGGAGCGCUCCUGCCGCCCUGCCCUCCCUGCCUGCCGGCCCUGCCUCCCUCCAGGGACAGCAGCGCGGCUGUGAAGCCCCCGCCGGUGGCGCUCGGAGCUUUCUGCCUUGCUCAGGGCUGCGGGGGAGGAGGAGGAGGUGAGAUGGCAAACGUGCUCGCAGCUAUUUCUGCUGCAGCUUCCUGUCCUUGACCCAGCGAUACAUUGUGAAGUUCUCCUGAGUCAAUGAAUCCUGGUAAAAUGCAGUAAAGGAUUUAAGGUUAUCGUCUGUCUCUCUCUAACUUCUGACAUCUCUUUAUAACAAGAAAGAGUCACAGCCAACUGUAACAGGAGGGCAACACAAUGAAUCCUGGUAAGACAGGGAAGGGGGGAGGUUCAACUUUGCUGCCCCUUUGCCCCUAUUUCUUCCUCACAGAACAGAAGUGCCAUCUGUUACUGGUCCUAACAUGCAUACAUUUAAUUUCCAUUUGGUAAUAACUAUCACAGGAAAAAGAUUAUCAAGUGAUCUAAAGCACUAUCAGCAUUAGCACAUCUUCCCAUCCAGUGUUUUGUUUGUACCUCCAAAGAUGUAGCAGAUGAAAUGGAUAUGGGCAAGUGUCUUAAUUGCCUAGAAUUAUUUUGUUUUCUUGUAGAGGACCAUAUGGUCAAGGUGUGGAUUAUGACCAGACUGAGGAUAUGUGCUUAGGUCAGAAGACGAUUUAGAAAAAUCAAACAAGAGGACUGAUAUUUAUAUUCUUCAAUGUGAACACACUACUAAAUACUAAUAAGUAUUUAUUACUUGGUGUUGUAAUACAUCAUCAUAAUAAUGGAAAAUAAAAUCAUAGCAUGUUAUGUGAGGGUAGACGGU
RNAcentral lists this long non-coding RNA (1226 nucleotides) under Zonotrichia albicollis (white-throated sparrow). RNAcentral describes it as "lncRNA (ENSZALG00000017675.1)". Lineage: Eukaryota; Metazoa; Chordata; Aves; Passeriformes; Passerellidae. The record is from RNAcentral.